Molecule: ribosomal RNA, 630 nt
Filed under: Triticum aestivum (bread wheat)
Lineage: Eukaryota; Viridiplantae; Streptophyta; Magnoliopsida; Poales; Poaceae
Description: partial small subunit ribosomal RNA
Source: RNAcentral
AUGGCGUGGGUGGACCGGGACGUCCUGGCGGACGAGGCCGACCGCCGGCGGGCCGAGUCGGCGCGCAAGAUCGACCUGCAGGGGAGCCUGCUGGAGGUGCUCGAGUCGGAGCGCCUCGUCCUGCUGGGCGAGAACGCACGCCUCGCCUUCCGCGCCACCGCCGCCGAGGAGGAGGCCGCCGCGGCGGCAGCCGAGCUCGGCUACACGCGCCGCCGCGCCGCAGACCUGGCCCGGCUCGCCGUGAAGCUGCGGGACGACCACCGGGUGUGCAUCCUCGGGCGGAAGGUCGAGGCGCUGCAGGCGCAGGUGUACGGGCUGGAGCUCCGCAACCGCGAGUGCUUCGAGGCCAUGGCCGCAUGGGAGGCCGAGCGCAAGGUCGGCGUCGCCGAGAUCGACCGCCUCCGCGCCGAGAACCGCCGCCUCGCCGCAGAGGCCGCCGUCGCCGCGCAGGCGUCGUCGAGGAGGAAGCGUGGGGGCGGCAAGGGUGGCGGGAGCAGCGGGUGGUGGUGGCUUGCGAGGGUGCGACUGGCGGCGGAGUGGACGCCGUGCGCGCCGACGUCGGUGACGGUGAGGAAGGUCGGCGAGCAGAUGAAGGGCGGCAAGUACAACGGCGGCUGCUUCUGCAUGUAG